UCGGGAAUUUUGGGCAAUGGGCGAAAGCCUGACCCAGCAACGCCGCGUGAAGGAUGAAGUAUUUCGGUAUGUAAACUUCGAAAGAAUAGGAAGAAUAAAUGACGGUACUAUUUAUAAGGUCCGGCUAACUACGUGCCAGCAGCCGCGGUAAUACGUAGGGACCAAGCGUUGUUCGGAUUUACUGGGCGUAAAGGGCGCGUAGGCGGCAUGACAAGUCACUUGUGAAAUCUCUGGGCUUAACCCAGAACGGCCAAGUGAUACUGUCGCGCUAGAGUGCAGAAGGGGCAAUCGGAAUUCUUGGUGUAGCGGUGAAAUGCGUAGAUAUCAAGAGGAACACCUGAGGUGAAGACGGGUUGCUGGGCUGACACUGACGCUGAGGC
This 380-nucleotide ribosomal RNA is filed under the name uncultured bacterium. RNAcentral describes it as "bacterial SSU rRNA". It matches the Rfam family "Bacterial small subunit ribosomal RNA", at positions 355 to 752 of the family's 1533-position model. The record is from RNAcentral.